GUGGGGAAUAUUGGACAAUGGGCGAAAGCCUGAUCCAGCAAUGCCGCGUGAGUGAUGAAGGCCUUAGGGUUGUAAAGCUCUUUUACCAGGGAUGAUAAUGACAGUACCUGGAGAAUAAGCUCCGGCUAACUCCGUGCCAGCAGCCGCGGUAAUACGGAGGGAGCUAGCGUUGUUCGGAAUUACUGGGCGUAAAGCGCACGUAGGCGGUUACUCAAUUCAGAGGGGACAGCCUGGGGCGCAACCCCGGAACUGCCUUUGAAACUAGGUAACUGGAAUCUUGGAGAGGUCAGUGGGAAGCCGAGUGUAGAGGUGAAAUUCGUAGAUAUUCGGAAGAACACCAGUGGCGAAGGCGACUGACUGGACAAGUAUUGACGCUGAGGUGCGAAAGCGUGGGGAGCAAACAGGAUUAGAAACCCCGGUAGUCC
This 425-nucleotide ribosomal RNA is filed under the name uncultured bacterium. RNAcentral's name for it is "partial 16S ribosomal RNA". It matches the Rfam family "Bacterial small subunit ribosomal RNA", at positions 354 to 796 of the family's 1533-position model. The record is from RNAcentral.